UCUCCGUAGGUGAACCUGCGGAGGGAUCAUUAACACGUUCCAAACCCCAAACUACUAUCAACCCAACUGUGAAGCUUUGUAUCUGCCGACGGUCGCCUCGAGCUCGACGGUGCGAGCUGAGAUCCAGGAUGAAGGUGAAAGGGUGGAGAGCGAUCUCUCCCUUUCAUACGGGUCGAGCUCGCUACAUGGUGGCCUUCCCUCUGUCUCUCUCUCUUGAGAGCUGCGGAUCUGCCAGCCGUCCUCGAGGAUGACUUGGCCCAACCUAUAUACGAACAGCAGCGAGUCAUCGGCUGCUGCGCGUAUAUCCACACGACACUCUUUUCUCUUCUUCUCUCUCUAUCUACAGGGUAGGGUGAGGGAUGUGAAAGAAUGACUCUAUACCCUUUUCGUGACCUCCACCUCUGUGUGGUGGUCUUCUCUCACUGACCUCUAUCUAUAUAUGUCAGUGCGAUAUGAAACUGAGUACAACUCUUAGCAAUGGAUAUCUUGGUUCUC
This 495-nucleotide unclassified non-coding RNA is filed under the name plant metagenome. RNAcentral's name for it is "partial contains small subunit ribosomal RNA, internal transcribed spacer 1, and 5.8S ribosomal RNA". The record is from RNAcentral.